RNAcentral lists this transfer RNA (68 nucleotides) under Marmota monax (woodchuck). Its description in RNAcentral is "tRNA.Ala". Lineage: Eukaryota; Metazoa; Chordata; Mammalia; Rodentia; Sciuridae. The record is from RNAcentral.
GGAUUGUGGCUCAGCGGCAGAGCGCUUGCCUAGCACAUGUGAGGCACUGGGUUCGAUCCUCAGCACCA